AGUGAACGCUGGCGGUAGGCCUAACACAUGCAAGUCGAACGGCAGCACAGUAAGAGCUUGCUCUUACGGGUGGCGAGUGGCGGACGGGUGAGGAAUACAUCGGAAUCUACUUUUUCGUGGGGGAUAACGUAGGGAAACUUACGCUAAUACCGCAUACGACCUACGGGUGAAAGCAGGGGAUCUUCGGACCUUUCGCGAUUGAAUGAGCCGAUGUCGGAUUAGCUAGUUGGCGGGGUAAAGGCCCACCAAGGCGACGAUCCGUAGCUGGUCUGUGAGGAUGAUCAGCCACACUGGAACUGAGACACGGUCCAGACUCCUACGGGAGGCAGCAGUGGGGAAUAUUGGACAAUGGGCGCAAGCCUGAUCCAGCCAUACCGCGUGGGUGAAGAAGGCCUUCGGGUUGUAAAGCCCUUUUGUUGGGAAAGAAAAGCAGCAGGUUAAUACCCCGCUGUUCUGACGGUACCCAAAGAAUAAGCACCGGCUAACUUCGUG
RNAcentral lists this ribosomal RNA (492 nucleotides) under uncultured bacterium. Its description in RNAcentral is "partial 16S ribosomal RNA". It matches the Rfam family "Bacterial small subunit ribosomal RNA", at positions 29 to 507 of the family's 1533-position model. The record is from RNAcentral.